AAUCAACGCUGGCGGCGUGCCUCAGACAUGCAAGUCGAACGAUUAAAGCUCUCUUCGGAGAGUGCAUAGAGUGGCGCACGGGUGAGUAACACGUAAGUAAUCUGCCUUUGAGUGGGGAAUAACAGUCGGAAACGAUUGCUAAUACCGCAUAACGCAGCGGCACCGCAAGGUGACAGUUGUUAAAGGAGCAAUCCGCUUAAAGAGGAGCUUGCGGCAGAUUAGCUUGUUGGUAAGGUAACGGCUUACCAAGGCUACGAUCUGUAUCCGGUCUAAGAGGACGGUCGGACACACUGACACUGAAUAACGGGUCAGACUCCUACGGGGAGGCAGCAGUCGGGAAUUUUGGACAAGUGGGGGCAACCCUGAUCCAGCCAUUCCGCGUGAGUGAA
This 389-nucleotide ribosomal RNA is filed under the name uncultured bacterium. RNAcentral describes it as "bacterial SSU rRNA". It matches the Rfam family "Bacterial small subunit ribosomal RNA", at positions 32 to 409 of the family's 1533-position model. The record is from RNAcentral.